GCAAGUCGAGCGCGCCCUUCGGGGUGAGCGGCGGACGGGUGAGUAACGCGUAGAUAUCUACCUGGUAGUGGGGGACAACCUGGUGAAAACCAGGCUAAUACCGCAUACGCCCUACGGGGGAAAGCGGGGGAUCUUCGGACCUCGCGCUAUCAGAUGAGUCUGCGUUGGAUUAGCUAGUUGGUGGGGUAAAAGCCUACCAAGGCGACGAUCCAUAGCUGGUCUGAGAGGACGAUC
This 234-nucleotide ribosomal RNA is filed under the name uncultured bacterium. Its description in RNAcentral is "partial 16S ribosomal RNA". It matches the Rfam family "Bacterial small subunit ribosomal RNA", at positions 57 to 305 of the family's 1533-position model. The record is from RNAcentral.